RNAcentral lists this ribosomal RNA (382 nucleotides) under uncultured eukaryote. Its description in RNAcentral is "partial 18S ribosomal RNA". It matches the Rfam family "Eukaryotic small subunit ribosomal RNA", at positions 592 to 976 of the family's 1831-position model. The record is from RNAcentral.
UGUAAGCGUAUACCAAAGUUGUUGCAGUUAAAACGCUCGUAGUCGGAAUUUGGUAGUUCCGGAUGUGUGCACGUCGUGUGCGCACUUCGCGGGGAUUGCUUUUGUGGUCUUGCGUAGGAUGAGGCACUUUUAUUAGUGAACGUCCUCACGCAACCACUUUUUACUGUGAGAAAAUCAGAGUGCUCAAAGCAGGCAUUUGCCGUGAAUGUAUUAGCAUGGAAUAAUAGAAUAGGACUUGGUUCUAUUUUGUUGGUUUGUUGGGACUGAGUAAUGAUUAAGAGGGACAGUUGGGGGCAUUUGUAUUUCGGCGCUAGAGGUGAAAUUCUUAGAUUGCCGAAAGACAAACUGCUGCGAAAGCGUCUGCCAAGGAUGUUUUCAUUGA